Molecule: ribosomal RNA, 466 nt
Filed under: uncultured bacterium
Lineage: Bacteria
Description: partial 16S ribosomal RNA
Rfam family: Bacterial small subunit ribosomal RNA
Source: RNAcentral
GAUGAACGCUGGCGGCGUGCUUAACACAUGCCAGUCGAACGGAAAGGCCCAAGCUUGCUUGGGUACUCGAGUGGCGAACGGGUGAGUAACACGUGGGUGAUCUGCCCUGCACUUCGGGAUAAGCCUGGGAAACUGGGUCUAAUACCGGAUAGGACCACAUUUUGGAUGGUGUGGUGGAAAGUUUUUCGGUGUGGGAUGAGCUCGCGGCCUAUCAGCUUGUUGGUGGGGUAAUGGCCUACCAAGGCGUCGACGGGUAGCCGGCCUGAGAGGGUGUACGGCCACAUUGGGACUGAGAUACGGCCCAGACUCCUACGGGAGGCAGCAGUGGGGAAUAUUGCACAAGGGGCGCAAGCCUGAUGCAGCGACGCCGCGUGGGGGAUGACGGCCUUCGGGUUGUAAACUCCUUUCGCUAGGGACGAAGCGUUUUUGUGACGGUACCUGGAGAAGAAGCACCGGCUAACUACGU